GCGACCUCAAAUCAGGUAGGACUACCCGCUGAACUUAAGCAUAUCAAUAAGCGGAGGAAAAGAAACUAACAAGAUUCCCCUAGUAACUGCGAGUGAAGCGGGAAAAGCUCAAAUUAAAAUCUGUCAGUCUUUGGCUGUCCGAG
This 143-nucleotide ribosomal RNA is filed under the name uncultured Cortinarius. RNAcentral's name for it is "partial 28S ribosomal RNA". It matches the Rfam family "Eukaryotic large subunit ribosomal RNA", at positions 1 to 143 of the family's 3401-position model. The record is from RNAcentral. Lineage: Eukaryota; Fungi; Basidiomycota; Agaricomycetes; Agaricales; Cortinariaceae.